GAUGAACGCUGGCGGCGUGCCUAAUACAUGCAAGUCGAGCGAACGGACGAGAAGCUUGCUUCUCUGAUGUUAGCGGCGGACGGGUGAGUAACACGUGGAUAACCUACCUAUAAGACUGGGAUAACUUCGGGAAACCGGAGCUAAUACCGGAUAAUAUUUUGAACCGCAUGGUUCAAAAGUGAAAGACGGUCUUGCUGUCACUUAUAGAUGGAUCCGCGCUGCAUUAGCUAGUUGGUAAGGUAACGGCUUACCAAGGCAACGAUGCAUAGCCGACCUGAGAGGGGGACCGGCCCCCCUGGAACUGAGACCCGGUCCAGCCCCCUAGGGGGGGCAGCGGUGGGGAAUCUUCCGAAAGGGGGGAAAGCCUGACGGAGCAACCCCGCGGGGGGGAUGAAGGUUUUCGGAUCGUAAAACCCUUUUUUUGGGGAAAAAAAUAUGUGUAAGUAACUGUGCACAUUUUGACGGUACCUAAUCAAAAAGCCCCGGCUAACUACGU
This 496-nucleotide ribosomal RNA is filed under the name uncultured bacterium. RNAcentral describes it as "partial 16S ribosomal RNA". It matches the Rfam family "Bacterial small subunit ribosomal RNA", at positions 28 to 506 of the family's 1533-position model. The record is from RNAcentral.